Molecule: ribosomal RNA, 492 nt
Filed under: uncultured bacterium
Lineage: Bacteria
Description: partial 16S ribosomal RNA
Rfam family: Bacterial small subunit ribosomal RNA
Source: RNAcentral
AGAGAACGCUGGCGGUAGGCCUAACACAUGCAAGUCGAACGGCAGCACAGUAAGAGCUUGCUCUUACGGGUGGCGAGUGGCGGACGGGUGAGGAAUACAUCGGAAUCUACUUUUUCGUGGGGGAUAACGUAGGGAAACUUACGCUAAUACCGCAUACGACCUACGGGUGAAAGCAGGGGAUCUUCGGACCUUGCGCGAUUGAAUGAGCCGAUGUCGGAUUAGCUAGUUGGCGGGGUAAAGGCACACCAAGGCGACGAUCCGUAGCUGGUCUGAGAGGAUGAUCGGCCACACUGGAACUGAGACACGGUCCAGACUCCUACGGGAGGCAGCAGUGGGGAAUAUUGGACAAUGGGCGCAAGCCUGAUCCAGCCAUACCGCGUGGGUGAAGAAGGCCUUCGGGUUGUAAAGCCCUUUUGUUGGGAAAGAAAAGCAGCAGGUUAAUACCCCGCUGUUCUGACGGUACCCAAAGAAUAAGCACCGGCUAACUUCGUG